GUAACUUCCGGUGAAAAAGGUACAUAAACACUUAUCAACAACAAAGAAAAAAAUACAGGUUGGAUAGGAAGAACAUAUGAGAGUUUGGGGCCAAGGUCAAACCAACAGAGGUCACCAAGGUCAGCAUCAGAGAGACUUUACUUUGAUAGGGUUAAACAGUGGACACUUUGAUGGUGUUUUUAAUCCAACAAGCCUUAUAUAGGACCACCACCUGUUGAACUUCUCAUACACGAUUCAUUUAAUUCAAAAUUAAAUGCCUAACACCCAUUUGUGUAGGCCAUUUAAAACUGUAAUUGAGAAUGUAAGAUUUUAAUUUCCUCGGUACAUUUGACAUAAUUCCCUGUAAGACGAGAUUUCAAAAGGAAAUUAUUUGAUUUUAAUUAUUUUUUUCUUCCAACUGUAAGUUUAUAUUAGGACAUACAAUAUAUAAAUGAGAAAUAAUCGGGGUUGCCCACACACGGUGAACAUUUUUUGAUGUGUGUCUCCAGACUUGUGUUUUUAUGUCAUUCUAAAUAACAGCUGAAGCCGUGUUGUGUUGAGGCAAUUCUGAAAUCAAACCAAACUUCAUCAUUGAAAUCAGACGGGCAGACAUCAUGAUGAAACCAAGAUAUCCCCGUGCACGUAAAAGGAAACACAAUGACCUGUGUGGCAAGAACUUCCUAAAAUUUGUCAUCUACAUGUUCACCUUUCUGUUUCUGCUGUCUGGAGUGGCGUUCCUGGCCACCGGUCUGUAUAUCAGGCUGGAGAAUUUUACCUACGUUAGUUUGCUGGGUAGCAAUGCAUUCCCUGUAGCGACCUACCUCCUCAUUGCUACCGGAGCCUUCAUUCUGUUGUCUGGAAUUGUAGGAUGUACUGGAGCAUGUGUUGAAAACAGGUGUUGUCUAGUCCUGUACGCCGUGUUCCUGUUAUUUAUAUUCCUGAUAGAAGCUAUCUCGGGUGUACUAGCCUACAUGUAUGACGGCACAAUUCGGGAAGAGCUGACUAGAAGCCUUAACAAAAGUAUGAUGGAAAAGUACAACUUUGAUCCAGUUUUUACCCAGACUGUAGAUAAUAUGCAGAUAGAGUUUAAGUGUUGUGGAGCAGCGACGUUUGAGGACUGGAAGUAUUCCCGCUGGCUAAAGACUGACAAUGAGACACUCAACAAUGCACCAGAAAGCUGCUGUAAAUCUGUGGGAGUAAACUGUGCCAUCAGUACUCACCCCUCCAACAUCCAGUACGAUAGCUGCAGUUUACGUCUUGAACAGUACACAAAGUCUAAUUUGGUGUUGAUAGGGGGAAUAGGCCUCGGACUGUGUUGUAUACAGAUAUUUGGGAUUAUAUUCUCAUGUUGUUUGGUAAGAAAAAUCAAGGACAAUUUGAUAAAACACCACUACUGACCCCAACACCAUGACAGGAAGUGAUGGACUAUAAGGGGAGAUAAUUCUGUUACAACACAACAGUUACUGGAAUGACAGUCUCUACCUUCUAUGCUGAGGGAUUUGUACAUCAUGACAUUGUAGAUACAUCAUGCUUAACGACCUUUGGGCAUCCAGCCGGGAAAAUAUGCCAAGAAUGCUAGGAAGAGUUCAAAGUGUCUAACUGAAAUGCAUUUCUGGUACGAUUUUCAAGAUUACAUGUUGUAGACCUUUUAAUAAGCGUCUAGUUGAACAUUUUUAAUAAUAAAUCACAUAUUUUACACAGGGUAGUGUGCAGAAACCCCCUUUGUUCUGAUGAUAAGCCAUGAUCUGGACUGUUAAUGAUCGCCAUGUAUAUAAAACAGGUGAUAACUAAGAUAAUCAUCGGAAGAUUAUUUUGAGAUUACAAUCCAUUGGACCCUCUCUCUAUUUGAUGUCCCGUAAGUAAUACCAUUUUCCCAGUUAAUUUACAAAUACGUUUCUUUAUGAUGAAAUGAGAAAAUUUUCUCUCUUAGAGCUAUUUUAUGUGUUUACCCCAGGACUUAUUGAAGGAUAAAUUGUAUAUUUAUAAUUGUUUUUGAUCUUUAAUAAACACAAACAUGCAACAUGUGGAAUUUGUGGCUAAAAAAGGCUAUAACUGAAAACUAUCUGAUGGCACAUGUGCUUCAUCAUGUUUCAUUUUUGUGUCGAGGCAUUGACCUUUAAGCUUUUUCUUAAGACUUCAAAUUCCUUCAAAUACAAAAAUAAAGAAAGGGUCUGUGGAAUGGAUUCGGCCAGUUACCUCUAAGAUUUGUUUACUUAUUCAAUCAUUGUGUUAUUUUUGUUUACUACAGUACUAAAUAAUAUUUUAUACUUGUAUUACAUGUUAUUUAUGCUUGAUCUGUGAGAGGUGAUUAGCUAUGUUAAAUGAUCUUUAUUGAAGCUAUGAUCUGAAUUUAUAUCAUAACAUGUUUAACUCUUUCAACCCCAAGAAACUUUAGUGGACUUUGCUAUUUAUUCAUCAUUUGAAGUCCAAUAUGGUCAGUAGGGGUGAAAGGGUUAAUACUGUACAGUUGUGAUAAUCUACCAAACUUUUGGAUUUAUUGUGACAUGACAAGGGGAAUAGUUUUAAAUAUAGAAUCAACAUGUCUGACUAAAAUCCUGUCUGUAUGAAGAAUGAAUAUUUGUUGGUUAAUUGGAUUUUUUUUUGAGUUUUGACAGAAUUUUAUUUUAUUUUGAUAUCAUGACAUCAAAUUGUACAUUCCAUGAUAAAAAGCUUGAUUGUCCAUACAAUUGUGUGACUUACAUAUACAUGAAUAAUAGAAACUCUAAACAUAUAAUAAGAUAUUGUAUAACAGUCAUAACAUAAAACAUGUUCUGUGGAUAUCUUCCAGGUAUUUAGUUUUGUGGAUAUAUCAUAUACAACAAAUAGUAAUGUGACGUUUGACAUCUCACUGAUAAUCGCGCUUACUGGAGUGUUUCUCUAUGUUUACUGUAGUGUAACAUCGGCCAUGCAUGCAGUUAUUAGCCAUGUGACGCAAUAUUUUUGUUAGGAAAUGUAUAGUACUAUAGCCAUGUUGUGUGUCUCCAUCACUGCCUGUUUUACCACAUACAAUCACUUUACACUGAGUGUGAGUUACUUCCCUUUAUGGAAGGCAUUCUCAGUAAGUAUACCACUGAACACUGAACCAGGUCCCAAUCUAACAUCUUGUAUGCAACGAUGAGUCAAGCAUAAGAUUUUUUGGUGUUCCUUGCAUUUGAACUUUUAGAUGUGUUUAUAUUCCAAGUAAUCAUUCCAAGAAUUAUAUAGGAAUGGGUCAUUUACAUUUUUUAAUUGUCAUAGUUUCAUAAAAAUUAAAAUACUAGCACAGCAGAUAUAAGAAUAUAAGAACAAAUUGAUAGAGUCCAUCUUCCAGUAGACCUAAAAUUUAUAAUGCAUACAAAAUAUAAUGAUUGACAGUGCUAAAAAUAGAAUUGAAAUAAUUAGUUUCCUUAUUUGGACAUCAAGGUAUUAAUGUAGUUUUUGAACAAAACACUUGAUUACUUUGAUAAUUCUGUAUUAAACUAGUCUAGUCAAUGAAUGUAGUAUUUAUGUGUUUAGUGUGAUAUAUAAUCUCGUCAGAUUGUGUAGAGAUACACGGUUUAUGUUAUACUAUUUAAUAUACAACAGUGUACAUUAGAGUAGAAUGAUUCUUCAAUAUAUGUCUCUAAUGCAGAUCCAUUUGUACGGAAUCAUAUCACAUUUUCAUUUUUGUCACAACAACCAUAUUAAAGGCACAUGACAUUUUCUGCAUUAUUACUCGGAAUAUUUUUAAUAUUUAUAUGUUUUUUCACCCUGUAGUUCGAGACAUGUAAACAACUGAAGGAAUACAUUUCUGGACAAAACACCCCCACCCACACACCCACCCCCUGUAGUGAAUAUAUUUUCUGUUCAUACAAAUUUAGUCGACAAACUUUAUUUUUAAAACAGGGAAAACAACUUUUACAAGAAAAUGAUACUAAAGUCAGUAUACAGUAGAGGAGCUACCUUAGAUUUAUAUAACAGUUGUUAUUGUAGAUUAUUUUACAUUCUCUGAGCAGUUUUGUUAGCAAUGCAUGACAAUGCAUGUAUACAUCAUGAUGUGUUCUGUCCGAGUUGUGUACAUUGUAUUUGAUGGAUGUUUAAUACAUUGUAUUGGACGGAUGUUUAAUACAUUGUAUUGGACGGAUGUUUAAUACGUUGUAUACAUUGUAUUGGACGGAUGUUUAAUAAGUUCGAGUUGUGUACAUUGUAUUGGACGGAUGUUUAAUACGUUCUGAGUUGUGUACAUUGUAUUGGACGGAUGUUUAAUAAGUUCGAGUUGUGUACAUUGUAUUGGACGGA
This is an RNA transcript of Pecten maximus, 4236 nucleotides long. It is a transcript of the gene named CD151 antigen-like, with no coding region annotated. The transcript has 9 exons. NCBI's taxonomy places the organism in Eukaryota, Metazoa, Mollusca, Bivalvia, Pectinida, Pectinidae. The record is from RefSeq and is a predicted model, not a curated record.